RNAcentral lists this unclassified non-coding RNA (224 nucleotides) under Dothiorella viticola. RNAcentral describes it as "partial internal transcribed spacer region". The stretch from base 1 to 46 matches the Rfam family "Eukaryotic small subunit ribosomal RNA", at positions 1786 to 1831 of the family's 1831-position model. Lineage: Eukaryota; Fungi; Ascomycota; Dothideomycetes; Botryosphaeriales; Botryosphaeriaceae. The record is from RNAcentral.
AAGUCGUAACAAGGUUUCCGUAGGUGAACCUGCGGAAGGAUCAUUACCGAGUUGAUUCGAGCUCCGGCUCGACUCUCCCACCCUUUGUUUACCUACCUCUGUUGCUUUGGCGGUGCCGCCUUCGGGCGCCCGCCAGAGGACUUCAAAACUCCAGUCAGUGAACGUCUCAGUCUGAAAAACAAGUUAAUAAACUAAAACUUUCAACAACGGAUCUCUUGGUUCUG